CUGGCUAAAGACCGGAGUUCAAGAUCACUGAUUGUUACCUCAGAUCUUUUUACAAUCUCUGCCUUUUCCUUUUCUUCUUUCGACGGCUUCUUUUCACUCUCGGCCAACGGCGGAUUCUCCACCUUAACUGGAGGAGCUGCCUCCUCAGGUUUUUUGGGAUUCUCCUCUUGUGGUGGUGGACUUGGUUUCUCCUCUUCUUUUUUUGCCUCUUUAUUGGACUCCGUCUUUGGCUCUUCUUUCUUCUCCUCUUCUUUUUUCUCUUCCUCAGGUUUCGCCUCUUCUGCUGGCUUAUUCUCUUCCGUCUCUGGUGCCUUCUCCUCAGGUUUCUGCUCUGCUGGUGGAGCCGGAGGAUCUUCGUCGAUGUAAUAGACUUUCAGCCCCAGCUCUCCUUUAAUCUGCGAAAACACGCUUCGUUUCUCCAACGGAUAAUAAACAAGAGUCUCUCCUCCAGAUUUAACGAAAGCACUAC
This 469-nucleotide long non-coding RNA is filed under the name Populus trichocarpa (black cottonwood). RNAcentral's name for it is "long non-coding RNA (PTRI_LNC003055)". Lineage: Eukaryota; Viridiplantae; Streptophyta; Magnoliopsida; Malpighiales; Salicaceae. The record is from RNAcentral.